GCAUGCCGCGUGCAGGAAGAAGGCCUUCGGGUUGUAAACUGCUUUUGUACGGAACGAAACGGUCUUGGUUAAUACCUGGGGCUAAUGACGGUACCGUAAGAAUAAGCACCGGCUAACUACGUGCCAGCAGCCGCGGUAAUACGUAGGGUGCAAGCGUUAAUCGGAAUUACUGGGCGUAAAGCGUGCGCAGGCGGUUUUGUAAGACAGGCGUGAAAUCCCCGGGCUUAACCUGGGAAUGGCGCUUGUGACUGCAAAGCUGGAGUGCGGCAGAGGGGGAUGGAAUUCCGCGUGUAGCAGUGAAAUGCGUAGAUAUGCGGAGGAACACCGAUGGCGAAGGCAAUCCCCUGGGCCUGCACUGACGCUCAUGCACGAAAGCGUGGGGAGCAAACAGGAUUAGAUACCCUGGUAGUCCACGCCCUAAACGAUGUCAACUGGUUGUUGGGUCUCUUCUGACUCAGUAACGAAGCUAACGCGUGAAGUUGACCGCCUGGGGAGUACGGCCGCAAGGUUGAAACUCAAAGGAAAAUUGACGGA
RNAcentral lists this ribosomal RNA (534 nucleotides) under Hydrogenophaga sp. AT08-09. Its description in RNAcentral is "bacterial SSU rRNA". It matches the Rfam family "Bacterial small subunit ribosomal RNA", at positions 392 to 917 of the family's 1533-position model. The record is from RNAcentral. Lineage: Bacteria; Pseudomonadati; Pseudomonadota; Betaproteobacteria; Burkholderiales; Comamonadaceae.